CGUCAACGCCAUGGAAGCCGGGAGUGCCUGAAGUGCGUGAGCGCAAGCAGCGCCCUAAGGUAAAACCGGUGACUGGGGCUAAGUCGUAACAAGGUAGC
Molecule: ribosomal RNA, 98 nt
Filed under: uncultured bacterium
Lineage: Bacteria
Description: partial 16S ribosomal RNA
Rfam family: Bacterial small subunit ribosomal RNA
Source: RNAcentral